GAUGAAGAACGUAGCGAAAUGCGAUAAGUAAUGUGAAUUGCAGAAUUCAGUGAAUCAUCGAAUCUUUGAACGCACCUUGCGCCCUUUGGCCAUUCCGAAGGGCAUGCCUGUUUGAGUAUCAUGAACACCUCAACUCUUCAUGGUUUUCCAUGAUGAGCUUGGACUUUGGGGGUCUUGCUGGCCUGUGGGUCGGCUCCUCUCAAAUGAAUCAGCUUGCCGGUUUUUGGUGGGCAUCACAGGUGUGAUAACUGUCUACGCUUGUGGUUUUCCACCAGGGUAACCUUCAGCAGUGGAGGUUCACUGGAGCUUACAAAUGUCUCUCCUCUGUGAGGACAGCCCUUUGAAUGUUUGAUCUCAAAUCAGGUAGGACUACCCGCUGAACUUAAGCAUAUCAAUAAGCGGAGGA
This 406-nucleotide unclassified non-coding RNA is filed under the name soil metagenome. RNAcentral describes it as "partial contains 5.8S ribosomal RNA, internal transcribed spacer 2, and large subunit ribosomal RNA". The stretch from base 1 to 121 matches the Rfam family "5.8S ribosomal RNA", at positions 35 to 154 of the family's 154-position model. The record is from RNAcentral.